Molecule: non-coding RNA, 30 nt
Filed under: Mus musculus (house mouse)
Lineage: Eukaryota; Metazoa; Chordata; Mammalia; Rodentia; Muridae
Source: RNAcentral
UUGGCACAGGAAAGUCUAAAAUAGACUUCU